CCUACGGGGGGCAGCAGUGGGGGAUAUUGCACAAUGGGGGGAACCCUGAUGCAGCGACGCCGCGUGGGUGAAGAAGCGCCUCGGCGCGUAAAGCCCUGUCAGCAGGGAAGAAAAUGACGGUACCUGAAGAAGAAGCCCCGGCUAACUACGUGCCAGCAGCCGCGGGAAUACGUAGGGGGCAAGCGUUAUCCGGAUUUACUGGGUGUAAAGGGGGCGCAGACGGCGAUGCAAGCCAGGAGGGAAAGCCCGGGGCCCAACCCCGGGACAGCUCUUGGAACUGCGUGGCUGGAGUGCAGGAGGGGCAGGCGGAAUGCCUGGUGUAGCGGUGAAAUGCGUAGAUAUCAGGAGGAACACCGGUGGCGAAGGCGGCCUGCUGGACUGCAACUGACGUUGAGGCCCGAAAGCGUGGGGAGCAAACAGGAUUAGAUACCCGAGUAGUC
This 440-nucleotide ribosomal RNA is filed under the name uncultured bacterium. RNAcentral describes it as "partial 16S ribosomal RNA". It matches the Rfam family "Bacterial small subunit ribosomal RNA", at positions 338 to 795 of the family's 1533-position model. The record is from RNAcentral.